AGAAGGUUCCAGAACCCCACUCAGAAGGUUCCAGAACCCCACCAUGAAGGUUCCACCACCCAGAACUCUCCAGAACCCCACUCAGAAGGUUCCAGAACCCCACUCAGAAGGUUCCAGAACCCCACUCAGAAGGUUCCACCACCCAAAACUCUCCAGAACCCCACCCAGAAGGUUCCAGAACCCCACUUAGAAGGUUCCACCACCCAAAACUCUCCAGAACCCCACCCUGAAGGUUCCAGAACCCCACUUAGAAGGUUCCAGAAGCCCACCCAGAAGGUUCCACCACCCAAAACUCUCCAGAAUCCCACCCAGAAGGUUCCAGAACCCCACUGAGAAGGUUCCACCACCCAGAACUCUCCAGAACCCCACUCAGAAGGUUCCAGAAGCCCACCCAGAAGGUUCCACCACCCAAAACUCUCCAGAACCCCACUCAGAAGGUUCCAGAACCCCACCAUGAAGGUUCCACGACCCAGAACUCUCCAGAACCCCACUCAGAAGGUUCCAGAACCCCACCAUGAAGGUUCCACCACCCAGAACUCUCCAGAACCCCACUCAGAAGGUUCCAGAACCCCACUCAGAAGGUUCCACCAUCCAGAACUCUCCAGAACCCCACUCAGAAGGUUCCAGAACCCCACUUAGAAGGUUCCAGAACCCCACUCAGAAGGUUCCACCACCCAAAACUCUCCAGAAUCGCACCCAGAAGGUUCCAGAACCCCACUCAGAAGGUUCCAGAAGCCCACCAUGAAGGUUCCACCACCCAGAAGGUUCCAGAACCCCACUGAGAAGGUUCCAGAAGGCCACCCCGACCUUCAGGGCCCCAGAUUUUUUGAGGAGCACCCCCUGCCCAGGUUCUGGUGUCUCACGUAGAUCAUCCAGGCCCCGUAGCGCUCCUUGAG
This is a long non-coding RNA of Poecile atricapillus (Black-capped chickadee), 896 nucleotides long. RefSeq lists it as uncharacterized. NCBI's taxonomy places the organism in Eukaryota, Metazoa, Chordata, Aves, Passeriformes, Paridae. The record is from RefSeq and is a predicted model, not a curated record. The transcript is spliced from 7 exons.